GCUUUUCUUGAAAACUUGCACCGGUAUCAAAAAAGAAGGGAGAUCUUAUUGGAGGCAUUUCAAAUAACUGCCAGUUGUGAGUCAACGUGCAACUUAGACACACCAGCUCGACAGUAAUAAGAAACCACUUCAAAUCAUCUUCUUGAUUUUUUUUUCAACGAAAGGGAAAAAAAAAACUAAUCAAAAAUGGACGCAAUCAAGAAAAAGAUGCAGGGAAUGAAAUUGGAGAAGGAUAAUGCAAUGGAUCGUGCUCUGUUGUGUGAACAACAAGCCCGUGAUGCCAAUGCACGCGCCGAAAAGGCCGAGGAGGAAGCUCGUUCACUCCAAAAAAAGAUUCAAACAAUUGAAAAUGAUCUUGACCAGACCCAGGAAGCCCUUAUGCAAGUAAAUGCUAAACUUGAAGAAAAAGACAAGGCCCUCCAAAAUGCUGAAUCUGAGGUUGCAGCCCUCAAUCGUCGCAUCCAGCUCCUUGAAGAAGAUCUUGAAAGAUCUGAGGAGAGACUUGCAACUGCUACUGCCAAAUUGGCUGAAGCAUCCCAAGCUGCUGAUGAGAGUGAACGCGCCCGCAAGAUUCUCGAGAACCGCAGUUUGGCAGACGAAGAACGUAUGGAUGCACUUGAAAAUCAACUGAAAGAGGCUAGAUUCCUCGCUGAAGAAGCUGACAAAAAAUACGAUGAGGUUGCUCGUAAAUUGGCCAUGGUUGAAGCCGAUCUUGAGCGUGCUGAAGAACGUGCUGAGGCUGGAGAAUCUAAAAUCGUUGAAUUGGAAGAGGAACUCCGUGUUGUUGGCAACAAUUUAAAAUCCCUUGAAGUAUCAGAGGAAAAGGCCAACCAACGUGAAGAGGAAUACAAGAAUCAAAUUAAGACCUUGACAACCCGUCUUAAGGAGGCUGAGGCUCGUGCUGAGUUCGCUGAACGAUCUGUUCAGAAACUCCAGAAAGAGGUCGACAGGCUCGAGGAUGAGAUGUUAGUCGAGAAAGAAAAAUACAAGGAAAUUGGCGAUGGUUUAGAUGUCGCAUUCGAAGAACUCUAUGGAAUUUAAUAAUGCAAAAUUUUUCCCAAUAAAAAAUAAAAUAUUUUUACAUUGCCUAUUUGUUAGAUUUAUUGCUUCUUAUCUAACAAUAAUACACGAGCUCGUCCACGAAAAGGAGAAA
Molecule: unclassified non-coding RNA, 1153 nt
Filed under: Aphidius gifuensis
Lineage: Eukaryota; Metazoa; Arthropoda; Insecta; Hymenoptera; Braconidae
Description: tropomyosin Per a 7.0102, transcript variant X13
Source: RNAcentral